RNAcentral lists this unclassified non-coding RNA (379 nucleotides) under plant metagenome. RNAcentral describes it as "partial contains 5.8S ribosomal RNA, internal transcribed spacer 2, and large subunit ribosomal RNA". The stretch from base 1 to 106 matches the Rfam family "5.8S ribosomal RNA", at positions 49 to 154 of the family's 154-position model. The record is from RNAcentral.
CGAAAUGCGAUAAGUAAUGUGAAUUGCAGAAUUCAGUGAAUCAUCGAAUCUUUGAACGCACCUUGCGCUCCUUGGUAUUCCUUGGAGCAUGCCUGUUUGAGUAUCAUGAAAUCUUCAAAGUAAAUCUUUUGUUAACUCAAUUGGUUUCUACUUUGGUAUUGGAGGUCUUUGCAGCUUCACACCUGCUCCUCUUUGUUCAUUAGCUGGAUCUCAGUGUUAUGCUUGGUUCCACUCGGCGUGAUAAGUUAUCUAUCGCUGAGGACACUGUAAAAGGUGGCCAAGGUAAAUGCAGAUGAACCGCUUCUAAUAGUCCAUUGACUUGGACAAUACUUUUAUGAUCUGAUCUCAAAUCAGGUAGGACUACCCGCCGAACUUAAGC